CGCAGGGUAGCGCAGCCCGGUCGCGCGCUCGGCUCAUAACCGAGAGGACAUCGGUUCAAAUCCGAUCCCUGCAACCA
RNAcentral lists this transfer RNA (77 nucleotides) under Mesorhizobium sp. RNAcentral describes it as "tRNA-Met". It matches the Rfam family "tRNA". From Rfam's summary of the family: Transfer RNA (tRNA) molecules are approximately 80 nucleotides in length. Their secondary structure includes four short double-helical elements and three loops (D, anti-codon, and T loops). Lineage: Bacteria; Pseudomonadati; Pseudomonadota; Alphaproteobacteria; Hyphomicrobiales; Phyllobacteriaceae. The record is from RNAcentral.